RNAcentral lists this ribosomal RNA (719 nucleotides) under uncultured fungus. RNAcentral's name for it is "eukaryotic LSU rRNA". It matches the Rfam family "Eukaryotic large subunit ribosomal RNA", at positions 24 to 664 of the family's 3401-position model. Lineage: Eukaryota; Fungi. The record is from RNAcentral.
CCCGCUGAACUUAAGCAUAUCAAUAAGCGGAGGAAAAGAAACUAACAGGGAUUCCCCUAGUAACUGCGAGUGAAGCGGGAAGAGCUCAAAUUUGAAAUCUGGCAGCUCUCUGAACUGUCCGAGUUGUAAUCUAGAGAAGUGUCCACCUGUGCUGGACCGUGUACAAGUCUGCUGGAAUGGAGCGUCACAGAGGGUGAGAAUCCCGUCUUUGACACGGACUGCCUGCAUGUUUAUGGUGCGCUCUCAAAGAGUCGAGUUGUUAGGGAAUGCAGCUCAAAAUGGUUGGUAAAUGCCAUCUAAAGCUAAAUAUUGGCGAGAGACCGAUAGCGAACAAGCUCCGUGAGGGAAAGAUGAAAAGAACUUUGGAAAGAGAGUUAAACAGUACGUGAAAUUGCUGAAAGGGAAACGCUUGAAGUCAGUCGCGUCGGCUAGAAAUCAACCUUGCUUUUGCUUGGUGUACUUUCUUGUUGAUGGGUCAGCUAUCAAUUUUGUCCGUUGUAUAAAGUCGUUGGGAAUGUGGCAUCUUAGGAUGUGUUAUAUCCCAUUGUCGCAUACAGCGGUCGGGAUUGAGGAACUCAGCACGCGCGCAAGGGACGGGUCUUCUGAUCACGUAUCGUGCUUAGGAUGCUGGUAUAAUGUCUUUAAUCGACCCAUCUUGAAACACGGAAGGGCGAAGUUGCGCGGCCUGCUACACUCAAUCAUCCCCUAUAGGACUAUCC